CAGUAGCCGCGGGAAUACAGAGGGUGCGAGCGUUAAUCGGAUUUACUGGGCGUAAAGCGUGCGUAGGCGGCUAAUUGAGUCGGAUGUGAAAUCCCCGAGCUUAACUUGGGAAUUGCAUUCGAUACUGGUUAGCUAGAGUGUGGGAGAGGAUGGUAGAAUUCCAGGUGUAGCGGUGAAAUGAGUGGAGAUCUGGAGGAAUACCGAUGGCGAAGGCAGCCAUCUGGCCUAACACUGACGCUGAGGUACGAAAGCAUGGGGAGCAAACAGGAUUAGAGACCCGCGUAGUCCCUGUCUCUUAUAC
This 301-nucleotide ribosomal RNA is filed under the name uncultured bacterium. Its description in RNAcentral is "partial 16S ribosomal RNA". It matches the Rfam family "Bacterial small subunit ribosomal RNA", at positions 509 to 807 of the family's 1533-position model. The record is from RNAcentral.